RNAcentral lists this ribosomal RNA (996 nucleotides) under uncultured bacterium. RNAcentral describes it as "bacterial SSU rRNA". It matches the Rfam family "Bacterial small subunit ribosomal RNA", at positions 8 to 992 of the family's 1533-position model. The record is from RNAcentral.
AGAGUUUGAUCCUGGCUCAGAUUGAACGCUGGCGGCAGGCCUAACACAUGCAAGUCGAGCGGUAGCACAGAGAGCUUGCUCUCGGGUGACGAGCGGCGGACGGGUGAGUAAUGUCUGGGAAACUGCCUGAUGGAGGGGGAUAACUACUGGAAACGGUAGCUAAUACCGCAUAACGUCGCAAGACCAAAGUGGGGGACCUUCGGGCCUCAUGCCAUCAGAUGUGCCCAGAUGGGAUUAGCUAGUAGGUGGGGUAAUGGCUCACCUAGGCGACGAUCCCUAGCUGGUCUGAGAGGAUGACCAGCCACACUGGAACUGAGACACGGUCCAGACUCCUACGGGAGGCAGCAGUGGGGAAUAUUGCACAAUGGGCGCAAGCCUGAUGCAGCCAUGCCGCGUGUAUGAAGAAGGCCUUCGGGUUGUAAAGUACUUUCAGCGAGGAGGAAGGCAUUAAGGUUAAUAACCUUAGUGAUUGACGUUACUCGCGGAAGAAGCACCGGCUAACUCCGUGCCAGCAGCCGCGGUAAUACGGAGGGUGCAAGCGUUAAUCGGAAUUACUGGGCGUAAAGCGCACGCAGGCGGUCUGUUAAGUCAGAUGUGAAAUCCCCGGGCUCAACCUGGGAACUGCAUUUGAAACUGGCAGGCUUGAGUCUUGUAGAGGGGGGUAGAAUUCCAGGUGUAGCGGUGAAAUGCGUAGAGAUCUGGAGGAAUACCGGUGGCGAAGGCGGCCCCCUGGACAAAGACUGACGCUCAGGUGCGAAAGCGUGGGGAGCAAACAAGGUUAGAUACCCUGGUAGUCCACGCUGUAAACGAUCUCUAAAGGGAGGGUGUUCCCCUUGAGGAGUGGCUUCCGAAGCUAACGCGUUAAGUCGACCGCCUGGGGAGUAACGGCCGCAAGGUUAAAACUCAAAUGAAUUGACGGGGGGCCCGCACAAGCGGUGGAGCAUGUGGUUUAAUUCGAUGCAACGCGAAGAACCUUACCUACUCUUGACAUCCAGA